This 364-nucleotide unclassified non-coding RNA is filed under the name Hevea brasiliensis (rubber tree). Lineage: Eukaryota; Viridiplantae; Streptophyta; Magnoliopsida; Malpighiales; Euphorbiaceae. The record is from RNAcentral.
GGGGAUUACACCUGAAAGAUGAAUCAUGAAGCAUUUUGUAGGCUAUAGCAUGAGCAGCACUAUUACAAGAAUAAGGAACGUAAAGAAAUUGAAUAAAAUUUGCAAAACUAGCAAGCAAAAGAAAUAUCAUGUCCAGAUAUAUGCACUCUCACUCAAUACUCACCUCCAUAAUAUGUUUAUGUAAAUCCAAUCCAUAACUUUGAGGCCAUUCAAUUUUUCCUUUUUGAAAUAUUGUUCUGAGAUUUCCAAAUUAUUUUAAAUAGUCAUAUAACAAAUCUUUUGGUGGUGUUGGUCAUUUGCACCCGCUGUGUUUGCCUUCAAAAUUUUGAGUUUUUCUCUAAAAAAUUUCCUGAUUCAAUUUGUG